GAUGAACGCUGGCGGCGUGCCUAAUACAUGCAAGUCGAGCGAACAGACGAGGAGCUUGCUCCUCUGACGUUAGCGGCGGACGGGUGAGUAACACGUGGAUAACCUACCUAUAAGACUGGGAUAACUUCGGGAAACCGGAGCUAAUACCGGAUAAUAUAUUGAACCGCAUGGUUCAAUAGUGAAAGACGGUUUUGCUGUCACUUAUAGAUGGAUCCGCGCCGCAUUAGCUAGUUGGUAAGGUAACGGCUUACCAAGGCGACGAUGCGUAGCCGACCUGAGAGGGUGAUCGGCCACACUGGAACUGAGACACGGUCAAGACUCCUACGGGAGGCAGCAGUAGGGAAUCUUCCGCAAUGGGCGAAAGCCUGACGGAGCAACGCCGAGUGAGUGAUGAAGGUCUUCGGAUCGUAAAACUCUGUUAUUAGGGAAGAACAAAUGUGUAAGUAACUAUGCACGUCUUGACGGUACCUAAUCAGAAAGCCACGGCUAACUACGUG
RNAcentral lists this ribosomal RNA (497 nucleotides) under uncultured bacterium. RNAcentral's name for it is "partial 16S ribosomal RNA". It matches the Rfam family "Bacterial small subunit ribosomal RNA", at positions 28 to 507 of the family's 1533-position model. The record is from RNAcentral.